This is a non-coding RNA of Drosophila suzukii, 814 nucleotides long. NCBI's taxonomy places the organism in Eukaryota, Metazoa, Arthropoda, Insecta, Diptera, Drosophilidae. The record is from RefSeq and is a predicted model, not a curated record.
UCAUCAACUCAGCAAAGCCUUCUUUGAUAUUUUUGUCAAUCUUGUCGCCGAUAAACCGUUCCAUUUCAGCUCGAAACUGGUUCUGGGAUUCUACCACAAAGUUCCUCAAAUCGCUACCAUGGCCCUGGUUGUCGACUCCUUCGAGGCUAUACUGUUCUUGGAUCGGAUCUAGCUGGAUGUGUGAAAAAAGUGUGAAACGGCAUUGGUUGCAGUGGGGGACAAGUGAAUGAUCCUGCGUUCCCUACAGGGGUCUUAAGGAAACAGAAGGGGAAAGAACUACUAUAAACUGUCCCAUACUCUACGGUGAACUAAUCUGCGGCGCUAUUUCUCUAAUGGACUGUCCUCGACCUUGGAACAUGAUAACAACAUUUAACGUUUAACACAAAGCAAUGACAGAGUCGGCUCUUUCCAACUUCGACUCAGUCGAAGUUUGGGAGUCAAGGGUGUCAUUUUAUUUAGUAAUCAAAAAUCCAAGUUUCUUCACUCGCCAUCAUCCCAUCGACCUCUCGAUACAUCUUAACCGCCGUUCGUCAGUCAAGGACACCGAGGAAUCAUCCAGAAGCUUCUGAGACUCCUGUUCUUAAGAAACUCAGGACUCCGGAUUUCGGUUGUAUUGGCGACUGCCUGAAGAAAAAGGAUCUUUUUACGUCCCACCGACUGUUGCUCCUGUAUCUCGAUCGCAAAUCUUCCAGUUUGCUUGGACCAGCUGAUGUCGUCGAGAAAGGAAAACAAUCUUUCUGCUGUUCGCCUACCGGUCAGACGAGGACUUCAAAAAGAUCUAUGGGAAGAGGAAAAUCCAGUUGGAGCCUGGUGC